Molecule: long non-coding RNA, 434 nt
Organism: Centropristis striata (black sea bass)
Lineage: Eukaryota; Metazoa; Chordata; Actinopteri; Perciformes; Serranidae
Exons: 4
Source: RefSeq, a predicted model, not a curated record
UGGCCUCAGUUUUGACUGCAGCCGUGGAUAUUUACUAACAAUAAACCUGUCAACCACUUCAAGGUGGACGGAGCUCUUUCUCUAAUGGACAAUUCGUCGAAAAGGCCUCAUGCCAUGCUGUCUUUUGAACGCAAACCUGUGCGGAUGGGCCUUGAACGGCUGUUUCAUCUAGUCAUCCAGGGCCUGACGAGAUUUGACUGGUCCAGUCCCAAUAUGUGUCAUUAUCCAUCCAGUGUGACUUCACCCAUCCUGCCCUCUGGUGACACAGCCUGCCCUUGUUAAGUGGCUCCAGUCCCUCUCCUCGUUUACAGUGGAUGGGUGCCACCUGGUCAUACAUGAAGGGUGUCAAUGGGAUCCGGAGUCUGUAGAGGAGUGAGACAUCCUAAAGGGGAGCUGGGGCGAGUCCAGUCCAGAGAAAGCCCUUUAUUUUCAGC